Molecule: ribosomal RNA, 505 nt
Filed under: uncultured bacterium
Lineage: Bacteria
Description: partial 16S ribosomal RNA
Rfam family: Bacterial small subunit ribosomal RNA
Source: RNAcentral
GACGAACGCUGGCGGCGUGCCUAAUACAUGCAAGUAGAACGCACAGUUUAUACCGUAGCUUGCUACACCAUAAACUGUGAGUUGCGAACGGGUGAGUAACGCGUAGGUAACCUGCCUGGUAGCGGGGGAUAACUAUUGGAAACGAUAGCUAAUACCGCAUAAUAUUAAUUAUUGCAUGAUAAUUGAUUGAAAGAUGCAAUUGCAUCACUACCAGAUGGACCUGCGUUGUAUUAGCUAGUAGGUGAGGUAACGGCUCACCUAGGCGACGAUACAUAGCCGACCUGAGAGGGUGAUCGGCCACACUGGGACUGAGACACGGCCCAGACUCCUACGGGAGGCAGCAGUAGGGAAUCUUCGGCAAUGGACGAAAGUCUGACCGAGCAACGCCGCGUGAGUGAAGAAGGUUUUCGGAUCGUAAAGCUCUGUUGUAAGAGAAGAACGGGUGUGAGAGUGGAAAGUUCGCACUGUGACGGUAUCUGACCAGAAAGGGACGGCUAACUACGUG